UUGUAGUGAGGUAAGUUUAUAAAUUACCUUACAUAUAUGUUAAACCUACAUAUACAGAAACCUAAUCCAUAUGUUCUUUCCUUUUGUAGCAAUAGUUCGUGCUUCAUUUCAAAGAUCAAGCAGUUACACGAUUUGUUGAGCACCAAAUGCUUAGCACGUGGAAAGAGUUUAGGUAAGAAAACAACUUAGGCUUUUCAAGAAGUUCAGCAACCCUAGAGAAGCACAUGCCUACCCACCGUACAGAUUGGUGAAUCGUGUAGAAGAUUGGCACUUCUUCUGCGAUCACUACCUGAGUCAACAAUUUUAGAAGCAAUCAAAACCAACAAGGCUGUUGAGUGAAACAACUUUACAACCACAGUAGCGAGUCCAAGUCGUUCCUACAAUGACAACAUGAGCUCACUAAACAACGAGGUCAUCCAGUGGACCGUGUGAAGUUGUUUAGAGAAACACAUGCCAAUAGGAGUGGCUAAUUCGUUUCACAGGUAGCCGCGGAUACGUAUAAGUAAAUGAUGAAACUCCAGUCCCAACCCCUCUUUGGAGACGAGAUGUAACACCCCAAAAUAUAAAGGUAA
Long non-coding RNA from Cucumis melo (muskmelon), 572 nucleotides. RefSeq lists it as uncharacterized. The transcript has 3 exons. Lineage: Eukaryota; Viridiplantae; Streptophyta; Magnoliopsida; Cucurbitales; Cucurbitaceae. The record is from RefSeq and is a predicted model, not a curated record.